RNAcentral lists this ribosomal RNA (358 nucleotides) under uncultured bacterium. Its description in RNAcentral is "partial 16S ribosomal RNA". It matches the Rfam family "Bacterial small subunit ribosomal RNA", at positions 338 to 710 of the family's 1533-position model. The record is from RNAcentral.
CCUACGGGAUGCUGCAGUGGGGAAUAUUGCACAAUGGGGGGAACCCUGAUGCAGCAACGCCGCGUGAAGGAAGACGGUUUUCGGAUUGUAAACUUCUAUCAAUAGGGACGAAAGAAAUGACGGUACCUAAAUAAGAAGCCCCGGCUAACUACGUGCCAGCAGCCGCGGUAAUACGUAGGGGGCAAGCGUUAUCCGGAAUUACUGGGGGGAAAGGGAGAGUAGGCGGAAUGGUAAGCCAUAUGUCAAAGACUUAGGCUUAACUUGAGUAUGGCAAAACGUACUAUCUAGCUAGAGUACAGGAGAGGAGAGCAGAAUUCCUGGUGUAGCGGUGAAAUGCGUAGAUAUUAGGAAGAAUACC